This is a long non-coding RNA of Toxotes jaculatrix (banded archerfish), 500 nucleotides long. RefSeq lists it as uncharacterized. The record is from RefSeq and is a predicted model, not a curated record. The transcript is spliced from 3 exons. NCBI's taxonomy places the organism in Eukaryota, Metazoa, Chordata, Actinopteri, Toxotidae.
GCUCAUUUGAGUUGAGUGCCAUUCCACAUAUUGUCCGCUAGAUGGCGUUCAUAGCGCAGUGGUAGAGAGUAGACUCACGCAUCAGAGGAAGAAUAAACUCUCGCUAUUCUUUACCACAGGUCCCAGAAGCAAAAGAUGUGAGGCCAACACAGGGUGAAGACAUCAACAUCAGCACAAAGUUUGAGAACACUUGCUCCUGUAUUGUGGUGCCCAAGACUGCCAUCAUUGCCAAACACAUCUACCAGGCCAAUGGCUGCACCAAGGCCAUUGGCCUCCUCAGUGCGAGGAAACCACAUCAUCUCUGGUGUGUGUGAUGCCUGGCAGGGAAAGACCAUCAGAGUACCAAAAAUAGAACCAUCCAUGCUGAGCUGCAACAUCAUCUGUGUUUGCUUUGGUUUAUGUUGUUCUGAGUUUUGCUUCUGUUUCACAUCAUUCAACACCUGCAUACUCACACUCUUCACUCAUGCACAUUUUACACUACUGACUCCACUGAUUUUCCA